Molecule: ribosomal RNA, 465 nt
Filed under: uncultured bacterium
Lineage: Bacteria
Description: bacterial SSU rRNA
Rfam family: Bacterial small subunit ribosomal RNA
Source: RNAcentral
CCUACGGGUGGCAGCAGUGGGGAAUUUUGGACAAUGGGCGCAAGCCUGAUCCAGCAAUGCCGCGUGCAGGAUGAAGGCCUUCGGGUUGUAAACUGCUUUUGUACGGAACGAAACGGCGAGCUCUAAUACAGUUUGCUAAUGACGGUACCGUAAGAAUAAGCACCGGCUAACUACGUGCCAGCAGCCGCGGUAAUACGUAGGGUGCAAGCGUUAAUCGGAAUUACUGGGCGUAAAGCGUGCGCAGGCGGUUUUGUAAGACAGAUGUGAAAUCCCCGGGCUCAACCUGGGACCUGCAUUUGUGACUGCAAGGCUAGAGUACGGCAGAGGGGGAUGGAAUUCCGCGUGUAGCAGUGAAAUGCGUAGAUAUGCGGAGGAACACCGAUGGCGAAGGCAAUCCCCUGGGCCUGUACUGACGCUCAUGCACGAAAGCGUGGGGAGCAAACAGGAUUAGAUACCCGAGUAGUC